RNAcentral lists this ribosomal RNA (440 nucleotides) under uncultured bacterium. RNAcentral's name for it is "partial 16S ribosomal RNA". It matches the Rfam family "Bacterial small subunit ribosomal RNA", at positions 338 to 795 of the family's 1533-position model. The record is from RNAcentral.
CCUACGGGAUGCUGCAGUGGGGAAUAUUGCACAAUGUGGGGAACACUGAUGCAGCGACGCCGCGUGAGUGAAGCAGUAUUUCGGUAUGUAAAGCUCUAUCAGCAGGGCAGAAAAUGACGGUACCUGACUAAGAAGCCCCGGCUAACUUCGUGCCAGCAGCCGCGGUAAUACGUAGGGGGAAAGCGUUAUCCGGAUUUACUGGGUGUAAAGGGAGCGUAGACGGUUAUGCAAAGCUGAAGUGAAAGCACAAGGAUCAACCAUGGGACUGCUUUGGAAACUGUAAAACUGGAGUGCAGGAGAGGUAAGCGGAAUGCCUAGUGUAGCGGUGAAAUGCGUAGAUAUUAGGAGGAACACCAGUGGCGAAGGCGGCUUACUGGACUGUAACUGACGUUGAGGCUCGAAGGCGUGGGGAGCAAACAGGAUUAGAUACCCUUGUAGUC